CCCCUUUUUCAGCUGCACCGACAGCUACUGCAAGCACCAAUCUCCUGAACUGCAAACCCACGAAUUCACCAACUCCCGAACUGCAUACCAAGGGAAUACUCGAAACUCCCGAACUGGAGACACACGAAUAGCUGCUAGCAGACGAACAGGAAAAGCCCCCAAGUGGCUUACACUCCUGGCAAUCAGUCUCUAACAGCAUACAGUAAAUCCUCCCCCAAUAAUGAG
Molecule: non-coding RNA, 225 nt
Organism: Pelobates cultripes (western spadefoot toad)
Lineage: Eukaryota; Metazoa; Chordata; Amphibia; Anura; Pelobatidae
Source: the annotation of a GenBank genome assembly